UGAGGAACAUGACCUUCGGCGGGGGAUAGCCGGCCCAACGGCCGGGUAAUACCGCGUACGACCACAUGGGGACAUCCCUGAGUGGUGAAAGCAGCAAUGCGCCGAUGGAGUGCCUCGCGGCCUAUCAGCUUGUUGGUGGGGUCAUGGCUCACCAAGGCGACGACGGGUAGCUGGUCUGAGAGGACGACCAGCCACACUGGAACUGAGAUACGGUCUAGACCUCUACGGGAG
Molecule: ribosomal RNA, 231 nt
Filed under: uncultured bacterium
Lineage: Bacteria
Description: partial 16S ribosomal RNA
Rfam family: Bacterial small subunit ribosomal RNA
Source: RNAcentral